UCAAAACAGCGGACUUCGGUCCUUGCUGCAGCCCCUUGUCUUUUGCGUACCGUAUGUUUCCUCGGCGGGCUUGCCUGCCGGUUGGACAUUAUCAAACCUUUUUGUAGUUGCAAUCAGCGUCAGAAAAUCAUAAUAAUUACA
Molecule: unclassified non-coding RNA, 141 nt
Filed under: soil metagenome
Description: partial internal transcribed spacer 1
Source: RNAcentral